Molecule: long non-coding RNA, 663 nt
Organism: Phasianus colchicus (ring-necked pheasant)
Lineage: Eukaryota; Metazoa; Chordata; Aves; Galliformes; Phasianidae
Source: Ensembl
AAUCCCCCUAUAGGGUCCGCACAGGGCCCCUAUAGCCCCUAUAAGGUCCCCAUAAACUUCCCCCCCCCGCCCUGAACCUUCGCACAGUUCCCGCUCGGGCUCGCAAUGCGCAGGCGCGAGGCCACGUGACCGCCGCGCACCAAUCAGUAAAGGAAGCAGGGUGGCGCUGGGACGUUUCACGUGACGGGAAGUGGUUCUACAGCUGUUUUCCGUUUCCGGUGCCCUCCGCUUCCGGCGGCGGAGUGAGACCAGCAGGGCCCGGGCGGCGUUCCCAUGCUCCAAGUUUCCACGAAUUCCUUUGGAGCUGUCACUAAACUGCCACCUGGACCCUCAUCAAACGCUAACAAAACGCCAAAUGGAUCCUAAUUUAGAGUUAAUUGAAGGUUGAUUAAGCUCAGAGGAGCCUCAAUUAAGCACUAAUUAGCCCCUAAUGAGGAGGUAGCACCCAGGCCUCGCCAUGACCGCGGCGCUGCGGCGCUUCUGCACGAGGCCCCCCCAGGAUCACUACCAGGUUUUGGGGGUCCCCCCCGACGCCACCCCCCAACAGAUCCGUGCGGCGUUCCUGCAGCGCUGCAAGGAGGUGGGGGGGCACUGGGAGGGACUGGGAGCAACUCGGGGGGCAAUGGGAGGGACUGGGAGGGACUGGGAGUGACUGUGGGGGCG